GAAGCUACUAAGGGCUUACGGUGAAUGCCUUGGCGCUAAGUGCCGAUGAAGGACGUGGGUCACUGCGAUAAGCCUCGGGAAGCCGUGAACAGGCGUUGAUCCGGGGAUUUCCGAAUGGAGAAAUCCGCUGUUGCGAACCAACAGCAUCCCAUACUGAACACAUAAGUAUGUGGAGGGGAACCUGGUGAACUGAAACAUCUAAGUAACCAGAGGAAAAGAGAGCAUUCCCUGAGUAGUGGCGAGCGAAAAGGGAACAGCCCAAACCAUCACUUGUGAUGGGGUUGUAGGGCCUGGCACAUAGGAGUUACAAAGCAGAUCGUUAGUGGAAUGGUGUGGGACAGCCAGCCAUAGAGGGUAACAGCCCCGUACGCGAAAACGAUUUGUCUCCUGCUAGGUACCUGAGUACUGCCGGGCACGCUAAUCCGGCAGGAAUCUGGGGAGUCCACUCUCCAAGGCUAAAUACACUUGGCGACCGAUAGUGAACAAGUACCGUGAGGGAAAGGUGAAAAGUACCCCGUUGAGGGGAGUGAAAUAGAACCUGAAACCGUAAGCUUACAAGCAGUUGAAGGGCUAAUAGUGGGUCGGUGCCCCGGAGAAAUUCGGGUGCGCGCCACUACGCCUGACAGCGUGCCUCUUGGAGAAUGAGCCUGCGAGUUAAUCUUUGUGGCGAGGUUAAGGGAGUAACACCCGGAGCCGUAGCGAAAGCGAGUCUGA
RNAcentral lists this ribosomal RNA (714 nucleotides) under Anaerolineaceae bacterium. RNAcentral's name for it is "bacterial LSU rRNA". It matches the Rfam family "Bacterial large subunit ribosomal RNA", at positions 1 to 686 of the family's 2925-position model. The record is from RNAcentral. Lineage: Bacteria; Bacillati; Chloroflexota; Anaerolineae; Anaerolineales; Anaerolineaceae.